This 250-nucleotide ribosomal RNA is filed under the name uncultured prokaryote. Its description in RNAcentral is "partial 16S ribosomal RNA". It matches the Rfam family "Bacterial small subunit ribosomal RNA", at positions 524 to 773 of the family's 1533-position model. The record is from RNAcentral.
UACGUAGGAUGCGAGCGUUAUCCGGAAUUAUUGGGCGUAAAGGGCGCGUAGGCGGCCCGGUAAGUCUGAAGUGAAAGUCCUGUUUUUAAGAUGGGAAUUGCUUUGGAUACUGUCGGGCUUGAGUGCAGGAGAGGUAAGUAGAAUUCCCAGUGUAGCGGUGAAAUGCGUAGAGAUUGGGAGGAACACCAGUGGCGAAGGCGACUUACUGGACUGUAACUGACGCUGAGGCGCGAAAGUGUGGGGAGCAAAC